GUCAGCAGCCGCGGUAAUACCGGCGGCUCGAGUGGUGGCCACUUUAUUGGGCUUAAAGCGUUCGUAGCUGGGUUAUUAAGUCCCUUGGGAAAUCCGACAGCUUAACUGUCGGGCGUCUAAGAGAUACUGGUAAUCUUGGAACCGGGAGAGGUGAGGGGUACUUCGGGGGGUAGGAGUGAAAUCCUGUAAUCCUCGAGGGACCACCUGUGGCGAAGGCGCCUCACCAGAACGGCUUCGACAGUGAGGGACGAAAGCUGGGGGAGCAAACCGGAUUAGAUACCCGGGUAGUCCCAGCCGUAAACGAUGUGCGUUAGGUGUAUCGGUGACCACGAGUCACCGAGGUGCCGAAGGGAAACCGUGAAACGUACCGCCUGGGAAGUACGGUCGCAAGGCUGAAACUUAAAGGAAUUGGCGGGGGAGCACCACAACAGGUGGAGCCUGCGGUUUUAAAUUGGACUCAACGCCGGAAAUCUCACCGGAUAAGACAGCAGAAUGAUUGCCGGGCUGAAGACUCUGCAUGACUAGCUGAGAAGAGGUGCAUGG
RNAcentral lists this ribosomal RNA (543 nucleotides) under uncultured archaeon. RNAcentral's name for it is "bacterial SSU rRNA". It matches the Rfam family "Archaeal small subunit ribosomal RNA", at positions 457 to 997 of the family's 1478-position model. The record is from RNAcentral.